RNAcentral lists this long non-coding RNA (268 nucleotides) under Lathyrus oleraceus (garden pea). RNAcentral describes it as "Pisum sativum (pea) long non-coding RNA (PSAT_LNC036690)". The record is from RNAcentral. Lineage: Eukaryota; Viridiplantae; Streptophyta; Magnoliopsida; Fabales; Fabaceae.
GAGCAAAUGCAACAAAUCUCCUACUGGUCAUAACUGUCGUCGACUGUUACUUUGUAAAUAGAAUAAAUAGCAUACUCAUACAUGGGAUCAUGGGAUCAAGGGUCGCAAAAUUUCAUACAUACUCUUCAUACCGCUGGAAUACCCAAGUCAAAGAGCGAAACAGUUGAGCGAGAAACAUUUAUGCGUCUGCGUCCACCCUUUUUCUUAGUCUUUUUUGUUUCCUUAAACGAAACAUGUACUUUUUAUUUUGCUUUGUUUAAGAUUAUUU